UGAUUAUAGUGUAGGCACUUUCUAACCAUGCCCUUAAAUCUAUCCCAAGCUUGGUAAAGAUUUUCUCUUUUUUUCUGCCUGAAACUCAAAAUCUUGCUUCUCAGAUA
This is a non-coding RNA of Capsicum annuum, 107 nucleotides long. Lineage: Eukaryota; Viridiplantae; Streptophyta; Magnoliopsida; Solanales; Solanaceae. The record is from Rfam.